RNAcentral lists this unclassified non-coding RNA (455 nucleotides) under Hevea brasiliensis (rubber tree). Lineage: Eukaryota; Viridiplantae; Streptophyta; Magnoliopsida; Malpighiales; Euphorbiaceae. The record is from RNAcentral.
GUCUUUUAAAGCCAACCCAAAAUAGGUCAUUUAGGGCCUAAAAGGUGACACCAAAACUUCGACAAGGGCAUCGUAGCCUUUGAUUGUUUUAGCAAGGUUUUUACCCUUGCAUAUGUGUUAUUCUUUUCCAUCUUUUUCUCAGUACCACUUCAAUUUCUUUAUACUUGGAUCUCAUUAGCUAUGCAAACUGCAUCUCCCUUGUGUAGAGCAUCCUCAUCCCAUGCUUGCACUUUUUCGAUCUAGUUGAGAACUCUCUCCAGUUGAAAAGAUGUUCCACACUAAUGUGCCUAUGAUGUAAAAUACAACAGCCACCUGAAACACAUCAUCCCAAGAACCAGCAGAACAGAGUUUCAGACAUGAUGCAAAUUUGAAGAAAAAGAAAAGCACCACCACAGAGUGAAGUAGGAGUGUAGGACUGUUUCCAGUUUUUUAACCUCUUUGGAGAAUGCACCCAG